Molecule: ribosomal RNA, 456 nt
Filed under: Triticum aestivum (bread wheat)
Lineage: Eukaryota; Viridiplantae; Streptophyta; Magnoliopsida; Poales; Poaceae
Description: partial small subunit ribosomal RNA
Source: RNAcentral
AUGGACUUUGUUAUCUUUGAAAAUGUGAAAGAUAUCAAGCACAUUGGCACCGAGAUGGUUUUGGUGGCGACGCUAACGGUCAUCGAGAGGUUCAUCGACUGGACGAUGUCGUGGCUGCCGAUGUACGGAGAGGCGAAGCUGCUGCUCGUCCUCUACUUCUGGCACCCCAGCACACGGGUAAGGACUCGACCAGACACCCCAAGCCCGAGAGAUGAUCAACAUUUGGAUACACUUGAUUCUGCACGAGGACGACAUCGACUGAUGCCUGUUGGAGCUGAAGGCCAGGGUAAGAGACGUGACAGCAUCGCAAAUGAAGGCGACGGCUGCCGUCGAUCAGGGGUGGCUCGUCGACGCUGCCCGGUGUGUUUUGUUGCAGCUGCAGGCCACGUGAUCAGGCUGGGCAGGCGCCACACAUUGACGAGUGAUCCAAUUUUCAGAUCCGACCAUAACAACUAA